This 113-nucleotide ribosomal RNA is filed under the name Gadus morhua (Atlantic cod). Lineage: Eukaryota; Metazoa; Chordata; Actinopteri; Gadiformes; Gadidae. The record is from RNAcentral.
GCUUACGGCCAUACCACCCUGAACACGCCUGAUCUCGUGUGAUCUCGGAAGCUAAGCAGGGUCUGGCCUGGUUAGUACACGAACACGCACUUCAGAUCAGAUCGCUAUUUUUU